RNAcentral lists this ribosomal RNA (307 nucleotides) under Bacillus thuringiensis serovar azorensis. RNAcentral's name for it is "bacterial SSU rRNA". It matches the Rfam family "Bacterial small subunit ribosomal RNA", at positions 555 to 861 of the family's 1533-position model. Lineage: Bacteria; Bacillati; Bacillota; Bacilli; Caryophanales; Bacillaceae. The record is from RNAcentral.
UGGGCGUAAGCGCGCGCAGGUGGUUUCUUAAGUCUGAUGUGAAAGCCCACGGCUCAACCGUGGAGGGUCAUUGGAAACUGGGAGACUUGAGUGCAGAAGAGGAAAGUGGAAUUCCAUGUGUAGCGGUGAAAUGCGUAGAGAUAUGGAGGAACACCAGUGGCGAAGGCGACUUUCUGGUCUGUAACUGACACUGAGGCGCGAAAGCGUGGGGAGCAAACAGGAUUAGAUACCCUGGUAGUCCACGCCGUAAACGAUGAGUGCUAAGUGUUAGAGGGUUUCCGCCCUUUACUGCUGAAGUUAACGCAUU